Lactuca sativa (garden lettuce) is the source of this 1838-nucleotide non-coding RNA. The record is from RefSeq and is a predicted model, not a curated record. Lineage: Eukaryota; Viridiplantae; Streptophyta; Magnoliopsida; Asterales; Asteraceae.
UUAGAAAACCCGCCUUCCUUUCUUGUUUCCCCUCUUUAGAUCUGGGUGUGUUCUUUGACCACAAAAAUCUUCUCCGGUCUUCCUCCGCCUCCCUACAUCGAGUGUUGCUUGAUUCUUUCCCUUGCACUCCGACCGCCGCCUCCGAUUCUUCCUCGUUCGUUGACAUCGAUCAAGGCUCAUUUACUUCUACCCACUGGAACCACCAUAUCUCCCACUCGAUGUUGAAAUUGUCAGAAAAAGCCCUAAUUCAGUAUUAUACUCUCAAGUCUUAAUAUUAAUGCAAAUCUUGAUUAUCGUUUGUUUUUUAUUCCCUACAGAUAAAUCGAAAAAGGGGAAUUAGAAUGACGAAGGUAGCGGGAGUUUUGGUCCGGUGGUCGUGGCUCAUCUAUCGAGUAAGGAAGAUGGGAACGCAAGUAGCCAUGGUGGCUCGAUGAUGACAAUCAAUCGAGAAAGGGGAAGCACCUCUGGUGCGGGACCGAUUUGACGAAAGGAGAACGGAGAAGCGCGUCAAUGAGUCCCAAAGCAUAAAAUCAAGACUAGGGCUUUUUUCAAAGAUCUAUCUCCAUUUCUCUCUCUCUCUCUCUCUCUCUCUCUCAGGUUCCAGAUAGUGGCUUUAGGGAAGGAAGAAGACAGUGAGGGUGGCUUAGAAGAAGGAAGACACCACGAUGGUUAUAGGUAAAACUAGGGCUUUUUUGAUCGGAGACCUUACAACCCAGUUGCUUCACUCUCGAUUGCAGCGUCGUUCGGCAACUAAGACUCCUCCAUCGUACUGGUUCUGCGACUUCUCAGGCUAUGACAUCGGUUACUACACACCUGUCUAUUAAUCACUCUCAUACUCAUCACAUAAGAAUGAAAAGCUAUCUAUCACCAUCGUUACAUCAGUAUCGACUCCUCAAGCUCACUGGUCCACCUCCCCUCCAUCCUACUCCAUCUACUAAGACUCCUCAGGUUUGCAAGCCCUAGGUCUAAUUGCACUAAGGUAUGAAAAAGGAUGCUUCUACCUUGCCCUAUUUCUUCAUCCGUUCAACAAAUAAGAGGAAACGUAAUUUCUCAUUCAUCUAUCGACUUCAUCUUCUCAAUCAAGCAAAACGGAUUAUGAGUUUUUCCUGCAUCUACGAUUUCACCUGCUUACAACUAUUGGUUUAGAACUUUAGAUCCUUCAAGGAACUUGGGAAAAGAAAUGUCAUACCUAUGGGCACAUCUUCUUAAGUUAAAUGAGCACAUUUUUUUCACAUAAACAAGUUUCAUAUUUCCUUUUUUUUGUUUUUGUCAAAAUUUUAAAUUAUGAGUUUUUUCUUGGCAGGUUAUAUGGAAGUAACGUAUGUGGUGAAGGGGGAGCUGAAUUUCUUGCAAGUCCUUUUAACUUCUCAUCUAUACAAGAAAGUGUAAACAUAAUGUACCUCACUGAUAGAGACAAGGGAAGUGGUUGGUUCAUGGAUAGAAUAUGAUAACAUUGUCUCUCUGUUACCGUUGCUUUUAGUUUCAUUCUCUGAACAAGUUGUUGUUGUUUGGGAAGCUACCUGUCAAGUGCAGGCAACAGAUAAAUUUUAUAAGUUUUAAAUAUUUCUCAUGUGAUCUCAAGGUAAAUCUCCCUUUUUCAUUGUGCUUUUUUCAUGUUUAAUAACAGUAAGUUUGAUUUCAUGUGUAGGAUGGAGAAGCUAAUGCUUACCUGCUAAAUGUUCUUGCACCAAAACAUUGCAGCCCAACCACAUUGAAUAUCAAGGGUCUGGUAUCCUCUUUAUUUGAGUUGUUCAUCAUGGAAGUAGGUGGAUGUUGUUGAGUUGCAAUAUUUGGAUUAAAAAUAUCUGGAAUAGCUACUGAGUCAUACCCCCACCCCC